Long non-coding RNA from Ochotona curzoniae (black-lipped pika), 1062 nucleotides. RefSeq lists it as uncharacterized. The record is from RefSeq and is a predicted model, not a curated record. NCBI's taxonomy places the organism in Eukaryota, Metazoa, Chordata, Mammalia, Lagomorpha, Ochotonidae. The transcript is spliced from 4 exons.
UCUGAAGCCUUUGCUUUCCCUUCCCACCCGUACUGUAGCUGCGCGACCCCAGGGCUCAGCACAUGGGCCUGAAAGGUCACAUAUCCACCUCUGCUUCCCAGAGUCUGGUCCUGCUGGAGGGUGCUGUGGGCCGCCAGGCUGACAGGGUGCAGCUGUCAGUGUCCCGGGCCCUGCGCUGUCCAAAGGUCUCCUUGGUCCACAACAGGAGGAGAAGAGACAAGCGCGUGGUGCUGCGGGCAUGUGCCCACAGGUGGGCAGUCAAGGUGGAGGCUCUGCUCCAGGGUAGUGGGCAGCCUGUGCAGCACCUGGGCCACCUCAGCCUGCAGGCUGCCAACCAGUCUCCUCCUGGCUGCCCAAGGCUGCUCAGGGACCCUGCUGGGCCAUGUGGAGUCCAGGAUUGCUGCCAUGGGAUCGCGAGUGUGGGCCCUGCUGGAGGAGGAGAUCCAUGGCAUGGCCACCUACCUGAGAAGGGUCCAGCUCCUGCCAGUAAGGGCCACGGAUGACGUGGUGGGCCACCUGCUGCAGCUAUCCCAGGCAGGACUGGAGGCUGUGCAGGUGAGUGGUCAGGGGGGCAGCAGCCACAUGGGCUGGGAGCCAGGCCCUGCAGGUGCUGACGUGGGACCUGCCCCUCUACCUGGAAUGGCUGCAGGGGGCGCUGGAGCAGCUGCGGCUAGAGCUGAACCGUGAGUGUGGGGGCAGCUGCAGUUCCGGCCACAGAACUUGGCGAGGCUCACUGCUAUGGGACUCCAGGGCGGGUUCCCGGCUCUGCAGGGCGCCUUGUGUGGCCAUGGGCUUGGGAGGGCCUCCCAUCCUGGGCCAUAGCCAGCUGUGACACCCCCUCCACCCCCAGAGCGCUCCUGCUGGGGCUGCAAACCUACUUUCUCUACUACCCAGGGGCCCAAGGCUGAGCCCUGGCCCAGCUGGGAACUAAGCUCAGAGGAGAUGCCCACCCCCCAACCCUCGCCCUUCCCUGGCCAGGUCAGACGAGUGACAACACCUUUAUCCCUGGUGGUGGUGGCUGACCAGGAGCCUGUCCUGUGGUACUGCAGCUAGGACUUGCUG